CAGUAAGGGCGAGUGAAGCGGCACAGCUCAAAUUUGAAAUCUGGCUCCUUCGGGGUCCGAAUUGUAAUUUGCAGAGAGUGCUUCGGGCGAGACCUCGGUCUAAGUCCAUUGGAACAUGGUGUCAUAGAGGGUGAGAAUCCCGUAUGCGACCGUGGCUCGAGCCCAUGUGAAGCCUCUUCGACGAGUCGAGUUGUUUGGGAAUGCAGCUCUAAAUGGGUGGUAAAUUUCAUCUAAAGCUAAAUACUGGCUGGAGACCGAUAGCGCACAAGUAGAGUGAUCGAAAGAUGAAAAGCACUUUGGAAAGAGAGUCAAACAGUACGUGAAAUUGUUGAAAGGGAAGCGCUUGCAACCAGACCUGCCCGUAGGCGAUCAGCCGCUGUUCUCAGCGGUGUACUCGCUCUGCGAUCAGGCCAGCAUCGGUUUCGGCGGUCGGAUAAAGGCCUUGGGAAUGUAGCUUCCCUUCGGGGGAGUCUUAUAGCCCUCGGUGUAAUGCGGCCAGCCGGGACCGAGGACCGCGCUUCGGCUAGGAUGCUGGCGUAAUGGUUGUAAGCGACCCGUCUUGAAACACGGACCAAGGAGUCUAACAUCUAUGCGAGUGUUUGGGUGUCAAACCCAUACGCGGAAUGAAAGUGAACGGAGGUGAGAACCCUUAAGGGCGCAUCAUCGACCGAUCCAGAUGUCUUCGGAUGGAUUUGAGUAUGAGCAUAGCUGUUGGGACCCGAAAGAUGGUGAACUAUGCCUGAAUAGGGUGAAGCCAGAGGAAACUCUGGUGGAGGCUCGCAGCGGUUCUGACGUGCAAAUCGAUCGUCAAAUUUGGGUAUAGGGGCGAAAGACUAAUC
This 839-nucleotide ribosomal RNA is filed under the name Xanthoparmelia idahoensis. RNAcentral's name for it is "eukaryotic LSU rRNA". It matches the Rfam family "Eukaryotic large subunit ribosomal RNA", at positions 81 to 936 of the family's 3401-position model. The record is from RNAcentral. Lineage: Eukaryota; Fungi; Ascomycota; Lecanoromycetes; Lecanorales; Parmeliaceae.